GAGUAACACGUGAGGAACCUGCCUCUGAGAGUGGGAUAGCUUCUGGAAACGGAUGGUAAUACCGCAUAACAUAGCGAAACCGCAUGAUUUUGCUAUCAAAGUAUUUCGCUCAGAGAUGGCCUCGCGUCUGAUUAGAUAGUUGGUGAGGUAACGGCUCACCAAGUCGACGAUCAGUAGCCGGACUGAGAGGUUGAACGGCCACAUUGGGACUGAGACACGGCCCAGACUCCUACGGGAGGCAGCAGUGGGGGAUAUUGCACAAUGGGGGAAACCCUGAUGCAGCGAUGCCGCGUGGAGGAAGAAGGUUUUCGGAUUGUAAACUCCUGUUGUAAGGGAAGAGGAAGGACUGUACCUUACAAGAAAGCUCCGGCUAACUACGUGCCAGCAGCCGCGGUAAUACGUAGGGAGCGAGCGUUGUCCGGAAUGACUGGGUGUAAAGGGAGCGUAGGCGGGAUGGCAAGUCAGAUGUGAAACCUGAGGGCUCAACCUUCAGACUGCAUUUGAAGCUGCUGUUCUUGAGUGAAGUAGAGGUAAGCGGAAUUCCUGGUGUAGCGGUGAAAUGCGUAGAGAUCAGGAGGAACAUCGGUGGCGAAGGCGGCUUACUGGGCUUUUACUGACGCUGAGGCUCGAAAGCGUGG
Molecule: ribosomal RNA, 638 nt
Filed under: uncultured bacterium
Lineage: Bacteria
Description: bacterial SSU rRNA
Rfam family: Bacterial small subunit ribosomal RNA
Source: RNAcentral